GACGAACGCUGGCGGCGUGCUUAACACAUGCAAGUCGUACGGUAAGGCCCUUUCGGGGGUACACGAGUGGCGAACGGGUGGGUAACACGUGAGUAACCUGCCCACAACUUUGGGAUAACGCUAGGAAACUGGUGGUAAUACUGGAUAUGUGCUCCUGCUGCAUGGUGGGGGGUGGAAAGCUCCGGGGGGUGUGGGUGGACUCGCGGCCUGUCAGCUUGUUUGUUGGGUAGUGGCCUACCAAGGCGGCGACGGGUAGCCGGCCUGAGAGGGUGACCGGCCACAUUGGGACUGGGAUACGGCCCAGACGCCUACGGGGGGCAGCAGUGGGGAAUAUUGCACAAUGGGCGCAAGCCUGAUGCAGCAACGCCGCGGGCGGGAUGACGGCCUUCGGGUUGUAAACCGCUUUCAGCAGGGACGAAGCUGUUUGUGACGGUACCUGCAGAAGAAGCACCGGCUAACUACGUG
RNAcentral lists this ribosomal RNA (465 nucleotides) under uncultured bacterium. RNAcentral describes it as "partial 16S ribosomal RNA". It matches the Rfam family "Bacterial small subunit ribosomal RNA", at positions 28 to 507 of the family's 1533-position model. The record is from RNAcentral.